CUGGCGGCAGGCCUAACACAUGCAAGUCGAGCGCUCACUUCGGUGGGAGCGGCGGACGGGUUAGUAACGCGUGGGAAUAUGCCCGGUACUAAGGAAUAGCCUUUGGAAACGAAGAGUAAUACCUUAUACGCCCUUCGGGGGAAAGAUUUAUCGGUAUCGGAUUAGCCCGCGUAAGAUUAGAUAGUUGGUGGGGUAAUGGCCUACCAAGUCUACGAUCUUUAGCUGGUUUUAGAGGAUGAUCAGCAACACUGGGACUGAGACACGGCCCAGACUCCUACGGGAGGCAGCAGUGGGGAAUCUUAGACAAUGGGCGCAAGCCUGAUCUAGCCAUGCCGCGUGAGUGAAGAAGGCCUUAGGGUCGUAAAACUCUUUCGCCAGAGAUGAUAAUGACAGUAUCUGGUAAAGAAACCCCGGCUAACUCCGUGCCAGCAGCCGCGGUAAUACGGAGGGGGUUAGCGUUGUUCGGAAUUACUGGGCGUAAAGCGUACGUAGGCGGAUUAGUCAGUCAGAGGUGAAAUCCCAGGGCUCAACCCUGGAACUGCCUUUGAUACUGCUAGUCUUGAGUUCGAGAGAGGUGAGUGGAAUUCCAAGUGUAGAGGUGAAAUUCGUAGAUAUUUGGAGGAACACCAGUGGCGAAGGCGGCUCACUGGCUCGAUACUGACGCUGAGGUACGAAAGUGUGGGGAGCAAACAGGAUUAGAUACCCUGGUAGUCCACACCGUAAACGAUGAAUGCCAGUCGUCGGGCAGUAUACUGUUCGGUGACACACCUAACGGAUUAAGCAUUCCGCCUGGGGAGUACGGUCGCAAGAUUAAAACUCAAAGGAAUUGACGGGGGCCCGCACAAGCGGUGGAGCAUGUGGUUUAAUUCGAAGC
Molecule: ribosomal RNA, 874 nt
Filed under: uncultured marine bacterium
Lineage: Bacteria
Description: bacterial SSU rRNA
Rfam family: Bacterial small subunit ribosomal RNA
Source: RNAcentral